Molecule: long non-coding RNA, 3047 nt
Organism: Ctenopharyngodon idella (grass carp)
Lineage: Eukaryota; Metazoa; Chordata; Actinopteri; Cypriniformes; Xenocyprididae
Exons: 2
Source: RefSeq, a predicted model, not a curated record
AUCAAAAUACUACAUCUACAGGUUUUAUUUUGUUAUGAAAAAAAAAAAAAAAAAAAACAAGCUCACAGGAAAUGCUCCUUACACACAUCACUGCCUACAGAUGUCUGCUCUAUGAAUAUUCUGACCGUAACAGUCAAUAUUUGGAAACGCCCAAAAGUUGCCCCUUAGGAAUACUCAGGGCCAAAGGAAGAACUGUAAUACUGAAUUUCCUUAUGAGACUGAACACAAAGAAAUUCUCAGAAACAUACAGCAUGCUAAAAAAAAAUAAACCCACAAAUUUGCAUAGUGUCAUGUGUAUGUUCUGUUUAGCUCAGUUCUGUCUUGUCUGCAUAAAGGCGGGUGCACACUAUGCGACUUUGGCCACGAUUUGGUCGUCUGAGACAAAUUUUGAGAAUCUUAAAAGAUUCCUCUGAUCCUAGGCUAAAAUCUGUAGUCUUUGAUCGUAUAGUUGACAUGUUCACCAACAGCCAAUUAAUGACCGCUGCGAUCAAAUGUCAGAAGAUUUGGCGCACAGUCCAGCAGUGUGACUUCUCCUACGACGAACGUCAAAUUGUCUUCGUUUUUCAAGACAAGCCGUGAUCAAAGUUAACACUAGAGAUUUUUUUUGUUAGUCACCAUUUCAGUCCUGCGUGUAAUGCAGCUCACAGUCACUGAACAAUGCACAUUGUGCGAUUUAUAAUAGUCUUUUACGAUUGUUGCUUGUCAGACUGUACGACAUCUCAGCUGUCAUUUAUGUCAGACUGUACGACUGUACUUAAAAAGGAACGCGUGCAUGAAAACUUUUCCGGAGUUUUAUAUCAACCCAUACACGCGUAGUCCUAGUUACGACUUUGUAGCGUUCCAGGCAAGUCACGAAAAACUGCCUGAGUGUAAACACACCAGCAUGGCGGACCAUAUGGGGCUUAUGCUCAUUUACAAUUAUUUCUAUCGCCAAAGGUGCUUACUCCUUGCUUAUUUGAGGGAAACGGAGGAGAAAAAACGGCACAUAAAGCAAGAUAAGCUGUUAUACCUUUUAUUUUACGUUAUUUUACCGUGCACUUGCAUAAACACCGCAUCCAUAGGGGCUGCCAUUGUUGUUUCGCGGCAUUAGUCACUAUGGUUUUGGUGGAUCCAAAAUAGUCAAUAUUCAUAUUCAUUCAUUUUAUUCAUAUUUUAUGUUAAUAAGUUAUGGCUUAUGAUUUAUCGAUAUUACUUUUGAUUUCAUAUAUUCAUGUACUCCUUUAUGGUUAUUCUUCUAUGCUUGCUAUAUUCAAUUGUUCUUCAAAGUGUUCCAAUAUGACAGAUCAUGUUGACACGUUUGUGGUUAGAUAUUGGACGUCUGCCAAGUACUGCAGAAGCGAUGUUUUCGGAAUUAGUUGCUCGUUUGAACUCGAUGUACCUUUGUAUCAAAAUAUGUCCAUUUCUAUUUCUGCUGACAUGUGAUAAUGCAAGAUCUGCAAAAUUCCCUAAAGGGUGUCAAAACAACCCCUAUAUCUUUUUUUUUUUUUUAUCUAGUUUUAACAUAAUGGAUAAAUCCAUUUGACCUUUUCUUAUGAGAACAAAACAUAAGUUUGAGUGGGAUGUUUUCCUAUAUGCUUAUGGUACAAAACGGACAGGGUCUUUAAUAGUUUAGCUUUUUUCCUUUGCUUCUCUUUGCUCUUCUACUUCUUCUCUUCUAUCUCUCAUUUCAUUCUGCAAAUGCUUUAAUUUUGUUCCUUCUUUCUGUAUACUCUGAUCUUCAUCUAUUAGAUACAAUACUCUGGAUUUUACAAUACUCUAAAUUUUAUUAUUAACUGUUAAUUACUUAAUGAAUUUAUUUGUCUCUAUAAUUUUUAAUUAAUAAAUUUGUUAUUCCUUAUUCAAAUUUGAUCUCUGACAUAAUCAUUGCUGGACUGCCUGGAUCUCAUUUUCUCAAGUUUUUGCAUCAGGUUUCUAAUUAGUUAAGUCUUGUCAGCUAUUCCCAUUUAGUUUCCUCAUUCUCUGUGUAUUAAGUUCCUGCCUGUUUCCUGUUCAUUGUCGGUUAUUGUUUGUGUGUUACUCCUGUUGCACUUCCGCCUGCUUGUUGAAUUAAACUUUGUUUAUUAUUGUGAAUCUGCAUUUGUCUACCUUCAUCCCAUGACACAUAGGAGAUCUAAAAAAAAUAGCCACCUUGUCCAAACUUCUCUAAAAUCUAUGAGCCUCCCUCUCCCUACUCCCUUUCCUUUUCAAGUCACUGAAAGUAAACUAAAAAUGUCUAUUUACCACAUAAUAAGGUAGUGAGCAAAAGUGAUGUCCAGCUUAGGAAAAUUGACAUCUUCACUCUUUUUUCACAUUUUAUUAAAUAUUUGUUAAAAUUUUGUAAUUGUGCAGUUUUUCAUAUUGUGCAGUUGUGAAUCCACGUUUUAAGAUGAGUUACACAACUGAAGACAGCAUAACAUCAAUACAAGCCAGACUGAAAUCUGGAAUGAUGACUGUGGCAGUGAUGAUGUCUCCCCCAGAACCACCAGGAGAAAACACUGAGGGUGCUAAAUGUACUCCAAAGAGAAAGAAGACAACGUUGGGUUGCUACUUUAAAACUAUUGAACAAGACUUGCCAAGCCUACCUAUCAACCAGAAACUAAGUGUAACUUGUGAGCUGCAGGCCUACUUACAGUCACACAACCUAGAUAGUGAAGGGGAUCCACUAAAAUGGUGGAAGGAAAAUGAAAAGGUCUACCCAAGGCUCUCAAAAGUGGGAAAGAAGUACUGGUGCAUACCAGCCACAAGUUCCCCUUCAGAGAGGGCUUUUAGCAUCCCUAAAAAUGUAUUAUGUUGAUAGGCUAUUUCUAGCCAAAAACCUGUAACGUAACAUACAAAUACAUGUAGGCUAUAGAAUUUGUGUAUUCGUGAUUGAAACAUGUUUUUUCACAUUGAACUUUUGUUAUUUAAUUUUGUUAUUAACAUUUGCCACGUGAAAGAGUCCCACUUUUAUUUUUACCAGAAUACAUUUUCUUCAGAAAUUUAAAUGACUUUCAGAAUUUAUGUUCUGCUUAUAACAUGUAUUAUUUGGAUGUAAAGUGAAAUAAAUAUGCUGAAGUGAAAUUUAAAAA